AGAGUUUGAUCCUGGCUCAGAUUGAACGCUGGCGGUAUGCCUUACACAUGCAAGUCGAACGGCAGCGCGGGAGCAAUCCUGGCGGCGAGUGGCGAACGGGUGAGUAAUAUAUCGGAACGUGCCCAGUAGUGGGGGAUAGCCCGGCGAAAGCCGGAUUAAUACCGCAUACGACCUAAGGGUGAAAGGGGGGGAUUCGCAAGAACCUCUCGCUAUUGGAGCGGCCGAUAUCAGAUUAGGCAGUUGGUGGGGUAAAAGCCUACCAAGCCUGCGAUCUGUAGUUGGUCUGAGAGGACGACCAGCCACACUGGGACUGAGACACGGCCCAGACUCCUACGGGAGGCAGCAGUGGGGAAUUUUGGACAAUGGGC
This 368-nucleotide ribosomal RNA is filed under the name uncultured bacterium. RNAcentral's name for it is "bacterial SSU rRNA". It matches the Rfam family "Bacterial small subunit ribosomal RNA", at positions 8 to 376 of the family's 1533-position model. The record is from RNAcentral.